AUGGCGACGGGAUCCAUGGAGGCGGCCCUCACGAGCGAUCCGACGAUCAAGCUCCCCGACGACCUCCUGGUCGAGAUCAUCUCGCGCGUGCCCUACAAGUCCACCUGCUGCUGCAAGUGCGUCUCCACGCGCUGGCGGGACCUCAUCUCCCACCCCGACCACCGCGAGAAGCUUCCCGGGUCGACCCUCGCCGGUUUCUUCUACAAAACCUGCGGCAUAGGCCGCAAUCCACGGUUUCCUCAUGUUUACCAAAGCGUCUCGGGUAACUGGUGCCCUCUUGACGCCUCACUCUCGUUCCUACCUGAAUGCGAGGAGCUCGACAUCUUGGAUUGCUGUAGCGGCCUCCUCCUCUGCCGACGCUGGACCGCCCCCAAGGCGUGGGAUGACCCUGGGACAUUGGAGUACGUGGUGUGCAAUCCUGCUACUGAGAGAUGGGUAUCCGUGCCCGCCACCGAGUAUUCCUGGUUUUUGAACGAUGCUCGCCUGGGAUUCGACCCGGCCGUCUCCUCCCACUUCCAUGUGUUCGAGUUGGUAACUGCCGUGGCUUUGAAUCUGAAUAAUAAGUAUGAUUAUCGCAUUGAAGAGGUGGGGAUCUACUCUUCCAAAGCGGGAGGUUGGACACAUCAAAUUGUUUGGGACGAUCCAACUGAGAUACUCUGCUUAUCAGGUGGCGCAUUUUUCGACGGAGUGUUGUAUUUACGUUCUGAUAGUAACACAGUUGCAGCCAUCGACGUGCAGGGUAAUUAUAGGAUCAUUCCUGUUCCUACUUCACCUGAUGCUCGUGGUGUUCCUAAUGUUUAUGUAUCACGUGGACAAUUGUAUCUCACAGAUCAUGGUUCUUCUGAACUGUCAAUCUGGGUUCUUGAAGAUUCUAUUAGUGAAAAUUGUUGGACAUUGAAGCUCAAAGUCAGUUACUUGCAACUGUUUGGAGUAGAGUAUUCAAGCGCCAGGGAACAUUACGGUGUUAUCUCAGCCCACCCAGAAGACAAUGUGAUAUUCAUAAUUGUAGAAUCUGCAUCAGGGAUCUUUUGGCAGAUGAAAUUAUUUUCAUACGAAAUGGAUUCUAAAGAGCUGCGUUUUGUAUGUGAUCUUGGACGGAAUUCAAGGUGCCCUUAUCUUUCAUAUGUUCCUUUGUUCUCGGAGUCAUUGACGGAUGGGCACUGA
Molecule: ribosomal RNA, 1164 nt
Filed under: Triticum aestivum (bread wheat)
Lineage: Eukaryota; Viridiplantae; Streptophyta; Magnoliopsida; Poales; Poaceae
Description: partial small subunit ribosomal RNA
Source: RNAcentral